UGGGGAAUAUUGCACAAUGGGCGCAAGCCUGAUGCAGCCAUGCCGCGUGUAUGAAGAAGGCCUUCGGGUUGUAAAGUACUUUCAGCGGGGAGGAAGGGAGUAAAGUUAAUACCUUUGCUCAUUGACGUUACCCGCAGAAGAAGCACCGGCUAACUCCGUGCCAGCAGCCGCGGUAAUACGGAGGGUGCAAGCGUUAAUCGGAAUUACUGGGCGUAAAGCGCACGCAGGCGGUUUGUUAAGUCAGAUGUGAAAUCCCCGGGCUCAACCUGGGAACGGCAUGUGAUACUGGCAAGCUUGAGUCUCGUAGAGGGGGGUAGAAUUCCAGGUGUAGCGGUGAAAUGCGUAGAGAUCUGGAGGAAUACCGGUGGCGAAGGCGGCCCCCUGGACGAAGACUGACGCUCAGGUGCGAAAGCGUGGGGAGCAAACAGG
RNAcentral lists this ribosomal RNA (429 nucleotides) under Chloroflexota bacterium. RNAcentral describes it as "Chloroflexi bacterium partial 16S ribosomal RNA". It matches the Rfam family "Bacterial small subunit ribosomal RNA", at positions 355 to 776 of the family's 1533-position model. Lineage: Bacteria; Bacillati; Chloroflexota. The record is from RNAcentral.